GGCAGAUAAAGGAACUCACCCGGAGGAGCAAGUGAUGGUCAGCAGCAGCAGAGGAAAGGAAGACUGCUGAACAAGAGUAAAAAUAGACCCGGCAGUUACUCAGCUCCUGAGAACAUGAUGACAUGACUCAUGAGGAGUUUCUCAUGGCCGACACACAUGGUAGUCCAAGGUGAUGCAUGUAUGUGUCAGAAAUCAACACCUACUUAGAAGACACACUCCCUCUUGUGUGAGAAGAGGAAAGCCCCUUAUUUGAUGCUGCUUGCCCACCUUUGCCUUGUCAGAGAUAACACCAGACCUUAUACAGUUUACCUGUAUCCCAAGCUGCCAGCAACAGAAGAAAUAGCAAUGUGACACUUUCCGUUUCCUCAAACACACACGCUUUACUCUUUUCUAACCAGAGAACAGCAGGCGUUGAAAAAAUGAACUCACCCUAUGCGUGCUGCACCUCACCUCAGGUCCUCUUAUUUCUACCAUCACAGCCACCUGACUUAUCUUGAGUGGCUGUAACUCAAGGAGUGAUUCGGAAGAAGAGAA
This is a long non-coding RNA of Gekko japonicus, 534 nucleotides long. RefSeq lists it as uncharacterized. Lineage: Eukaryota; Metazoa; Chordata; Lepidosauria; Squamata; Gekkonidae. The transcript is spliced from 5 exons. The record is from RefSeq and is a predicted model, not a curated record.